GAUGAACGCUGGCGGCGUGCCUAAUACAUGCAAGUCGAGCGAACAGAUGAGGAGCUUGCUCCUCUGACGUUAUCGGGGGACGGGUGAGUAACACGUGUAUAACCUACCUCUAAGACAGGGAUAACAUUGCGGAAUCGGAGCUAAUACCGGAUAAUAUAUUGAACUUCGUGGUUCAAUAGUGAAAUACGGUUUUGCUGUCACUUAUAGAUUGAUCCGCGCCGCAUUCGCUGGUUGGUAAGGUAACGGCUUACCAAGGCAACGAUGCGUAGCCGACCUGAGAGGGUGAUCGGCCGCUCGGGAGAGAAGAUCCGCACCAGCCCCCUAAGGGAGGCACGAGUAGGAAUCCUUCGGGAAUGAGCGAAGGCCAGAAGGAGCAACGCGGCGUGAGUGAUGAAGGUCUUCGGCUCGUAAAACAUGAUGGUUUGGGAGGAGCAAAUCUGUAGGUACCUAUGCGAUUAUGACCGUACCCUAAUAAGAAGGCCCCGCUUACUUCCGU
Molecule: ribosomal RNA, 496 nt
Filed under: uncultured bacterium
Lineage: Bacteria
Description: partial 16S ribosomal RNA
Rfam family: Bacterial small subunit ribosomal RNA
Source: RNAcentral